RNAcentral lists this ribosomal RNA (253 nucleotides) under uncultured bacterium. RNAcentral describes it as "partial 16S ribosomal RNA". It matches the Rfam family "Bacterial small subunit ribosomal RNA", at positions 524 to 776 of the family's 1533-position model. The record is from RNAcentral.
UACGUAUGGUGCAAGCGUUAUCCGGAUUUACUGGGCGUAAAGGGAGCGCAGGCGGCGCGCCAAGUCUGAUGUGAAACCCCGGGGCUCAACCCCGGGCAUGCAUUGGAAACUGGCGGGCUGGAGUGCCGGAGAGGUAAGCGGAAUUCCUAGUGUAGCGGAGAAAUGCGUAGAUAUUAGGAGGAACACCAGUGGCGAAGGCGGCUUACUGGACGGCAACUGACGCUGAGGCUCGAAAGCGUGGGGAGCAAACAGG